UACGUAGGGUGCAAGCGUUGCCCGGAUUCACUGGGCGUAAAGGGUGCGUAGGCGGAUUGGUAAGUCGAUUGUGAAAUCUCUAGGCUCAACCUGGAAACUGCGGUCGAUACUGCCGAUCUAGAGGACAGAAGAGGAGAGCGGAACUCCUGGUGUAGCGGUAAAAUGCGUGGAUAUCAGGAGGAACGCCUAUGGCGAAAGCAGCUCUCUGGUAUGUUCCUGACGCUGAAGCACGAAAGCUAAGGUAGCAAACCGGAUUAGAUACCCGGGUAGUCUUAGCCGUAAACAAUGUACACUAGGUAUUGGCAAUGGUCAGUGCCGCAGCUAACGCGAUAAGUGUACCGCCUGGGGACUACGGCCGCAAGGCUAAA
This 368-nucleotide ribosomal RNA is filed under the name uncultured bacterium. RNAcentral describes it as "bacterial SSU rRNA". It matches the Rfam family "Bacterial small subunit ribosomal RNA", at positions 524 to 898 of the family's 1533-position model. The record is from RNAcentral.